GACGAACGCUAGCGGCGUGCCUAAUACAUGCAAGUAGAACGCUGAAGGAGGAGCUUGCUUCUCUGGAUGAGUUGCGAACGGGUGAGUAACGCGUAGGUAACCUGCCUGGUAGCGGGGGAUAACUAUUGGAAACGAUAGCUAAUACCGCAUAAGAGUAGAUGUUGCAUGACAUUUGCUUAAAAGGUGCAAUUGCAUCACUACCAGAUGGACCUGCGUUGUAUUAGCUAGUUGGUGGGGUAACGGCUCACCAAGGCGACGAUACAUAGCCGACCUGAGAGGGUGAUCGGCCACACUGGGACUGAGACACGGCCCAGACUCCUACGGGAGGCAGCAGUAGGGAAUCUUCGGCAAUGGACGGAAGUCUGACCGAGCAACGCCGCGUGAGUGAAGAAGGGUUUCGGAUCGUAAAGCUCUGUUGUAAGAGAAGAACGAGUGUGAGAGUGGAAAGUUCACACUGUGACGGUAUCUUACCAGAAAGGGACGGCUAACUACGUG
RNAcentral lists this ribosomal RNA (495 nucleotides) under uncultured bacterium. RNAcentral describes it as "partial 16S ribosomal RNA". It matches the Rfam family "Bacterial small subunit ribosomal RNA", at positions 28 to 507 of the family's 1533-position model. The record is from RNAcentral.